This is a long non-coding RNA of Amblyraja radiata (thorny skate), 126 nucleotides long. RefSeq lists it as uncharacterized. The transcript has 3 exons. The record is from RefSeq and is a predicted model, not a curated record. NCBI's taxonomy places the organism in Eukaryota, Metazoa, Chordata, Chondrichthyes, Rajiformes, Rajidae.
UCCUGUUUCAAUGCUCGGGCGAAUAAAUGCUAUAAAAAUGAUUUUUCUACCACAAAUUCUAUACCUAUUCCAGUCAAUUCCAAUAUACCUACCAAAAAAGUUUUUUAAAAAACUGGACUCAGACAU